AUGACAUGUUCCAUAUAUGGCAUACAAAUUCAGAGUUAUUCUCCCCGCAAAAAUAAAAAAUUAAAAAAAUUCAGAGUUAUUCUAUCUUCUUCUAGCAUUGGCAGAUUCAGUCAAGCUUCUGAAUUUGCGCAAGCAUCGACAGGUCGAGUGACUGCAUAUGAUUGUUUUUGUUGCCUUGUUCUAGUCGGUGACACGAGCAUCUUGGUGUUGCAGCACCACCACUCCACACGUGCUUCCUCACAACACAUUCCUUGGUGGCGCUGCAUCUGUAGAAACCCCUGCACUAUUAGUUCAUACUGA
RNAcentral lists this ribosomal RNA (300 nucleotides) under Triticum aestivum (bread wheat). RNAcentral's name for it is "partial small subunit ribosomal RNA". Lineage: Eukaryota; Viridiplantae; Streptophyta; Magnoliopsida; Poales; Poaceae. The record is from RNAcentral.